GAUGAACGUUGGCGGGAGGCCUAAUACAUGCAAGUCGAGCGGAAAGGCCCUUCGGGGCACUCGAGCGGCGAACGGCUGAGUAACACGUUGGUACCUACCCCGAACUCAGGGAUAACCAUUGGAAACGAUGGCUAAUACCGGAUGUCCCAGUAAUGGGAAAGAUUUAUCGGUUCGGGAGGGGCCUGCGGAGUAUCAGAUUGUUGGUAAGGUAACGGCUUACCAAGUCUAUGACGCAUAGCUGGUGUGAGAGCAUGACCAGCCAGAGUGGGACUGAGACACGGCCCACACUCCUACGGGAGGCAGCAGUAAGGAAUAUUCCACAAUGGGCGAAAGCCUGAUGGAGCCAUCCCGCGUGCAGGAAGACACUCCUUGGAGCGUAAACUGCUUUUCUGAGGGAAGAAAUUUUGACGGUACCUCAGGAAUAAGCGACGGCUAACUUCG
This 441-nucleotide ribosomal RNA is filed under the name uncultured bacterium. RNAcentral's name for it is "bacterial SSU rRNA". It matches the Rfam family "Bacterial small subunit ribosomal RNA", at positions 28 to 505 of the family's 1533-position model. The record is from RNAcentral.